UCGACCGGCCGACUUGUCGCCUGUAAAAGGGAGGAAAGUCCGGACAGCACAGAGCAGUAUACCCUGUGAAAACGGGGGCGCCCACUGCCAUAACGGUGGGUGACAGAAAGUGCCGCAGAAAAUAUACCGCCACGAAUCAACGUGUUGAUUUGCGGUAAGGGUGAAAUGGUGGGGUAAGAGCCCACCGCGCAAAUGGCAACAUUUGUGGCAGGGUAAACCUUAUGCGCUGCAAGGCCAAAUAAGUAGAUGAAUGGAGUUGCUCGCUCCGUUGUUUGUUCGCAAACAACAUCUAUGGGUAGGCUGCGUUAGAUAAAUGACAAGGCUGAAACAGAAUCCGGCUUAUGAGCCGGUCGAUUUU
RNAcentral lists this RNase P RNA (358 nucleotides) under Flavobacteriales bacterium. RNAcentral describes it as "RNase P RNA component class A". It matches the Rfam family "Bacterial RNase P class A". Rfam says of the family: Ribonuclease P (RNase P) is a ubiquitous endoribonuclease, found in archaea, bacteria and eukarya as well as chloroplasts and mitochondria. Lineage: Bacteria; Pseudomonadati; Bacteroidota; Flavobacteriia; Flavobacteriales. The record is from RNAcentral.